This is a long non-coding RNA of Armigeres subalbatus, 6094 nucleotides long. RefSeq lists it as uncharacterized. The record is from RefSeq and is a predicted model, not a curated record. NCBI's taxonomy places the organism in Eukaryota, Metazoa, Arthropoda, Insecta, Diptera, Culicidae. The transcript has 2 exons.
UACACUGUAGCGCAUAUUUUCAAGAUUUUUCAAGCGAAUUUGCAUCUAGGAGACAGAUCUCGGCGAGUUUUACCUAACUACCAAAAAUUAGGAGAAUCGGUUGAAAACUAAAAGAAUGGCAGCUACUCAAAGUGGCCUGGGGUCAUAUUGACCCCAGAGCACAGACAAAAGGUUAAUAUUAUCUAUUUUUUGCAAUUCGCAAUUAUUAUGAAAUUCAAUAGUGAUCAACACCGUUUUAGUCUCUGUCGGAUGCAACUUGUUGCAAGAAAAUCGGUUAAGAGUUUAUAUGUAUAAAUUUGACUAAUGUUUUAAUGGCAUUUUGUGCACACACACACAUACACACACACGCACACACGGACAGACAGACAUUUGUUCAGCUCAUCGAGCUGAGUCGAAUAGUAUAUAACACUAUGGGUCUCCGGGACUUCUAUCAAAAGUUCGAAUUUGGAGCGAAAUGAUAGCCUUUCGGUACAACUUAGUUGUACGAGAAAGGCAAAGCGAUAUAUUUUUGUAAACAAUGUGAAAUAUUUUUAUAAUGACGAAAAAUAAAAAAAAUUGACCGUUUCGUAAAAGAAGUAUGACUUUUACUGUUUGACAGCUCCACUAUACUGUAAUGCAGAAUUUGUAUUGCAGUUUGUUCGGUAUUUAUUUUACCGUAUACGGCAACAACUAUGUUUUACCGUACCGAACUCUGUCAAAUAAUUUUUUAAUUGCAGUUUGAUCGGUAAAGUUUUACCAAAAUACGGUAGAAUAAUUUAUUUUAACCGAACUUACGAUAAGUUUUAAUGUUUACCGAAGUUUUUCGUCAAAAACUUUACCGAACAGCGAAAUCUAUUUUAAGUGUGUAAGACGAGUUUGUACAAUAAAGUAGUGGAAUUAAAUGGAAUUGUACAAACUCGUCUUAUGACAAGUAAGUAAAAUCUGAUAAGUUCAUUUUAUUUGAUUCUUUUUGAUUUUUUUUUAAAUUCUCGACCCCUUCACCACUGGAAAAGCACAACUUUGAGGCAAGUCAUACAGCAUAAUGUGCAAUAAUGUUUAUUAUGAAUACGAACUUAUUCGGAAAAUCUUCGCUUGUGUGUAAAAAUAGCAUUUUUUUAUAUAAUUGAUUUUUAGACAUAGAUUUAAUUCUACUCACAUAGUUUAUAAAUCUGAAACCCAAGAAUUAUUUCAAAACCUGAAGAAUUUUCUCAGGAUUUUAAAAAGCCUAAAGAAGAAGUUUAAUCAACCAACCAACAAACGAUUUUUCUCGAUGGUAUAUCCAAAGUUUAUGCAGCUUCAAAUGUUUAUUUAUUUGGAAGGUUCAUUUGCCGUGAAGCGUUACGGAGCCGGAAUACAAUUUUUCAUGAUUAUUAUACACUAAUGUUAGUUACAAAUGUUUAAUGGUCAUUAGAAUACAUUUUGGAAAAUUCCGAAGUAUUUAUCGGAGCAGAUGUCGAGAGACCAUUCAUUUUGCUCAUCACGAAAACAUUACGGAUUAUUUCUGUGGGGAUCCCUUACACACUUGGUUUUAUUUCUACACUUUAUCAAUUGAGAUAAGUUAGCCAUUGGCUUUGUGAAUAUAUUUAGAUCCUCGAUCCCCUGUGCCCAUCCUGCUUUCAUUAUUAUAUACCCAAUCAUACUGUGACACAAAACCUCUUCAAUUAAUCGCUGUUGAAAAUCUAAUGACAACUCCGAGAUUCACAGCGAAUCUGGAGUCACGAAGAAGUUCCGAACAGCAGGAUAAAGUUUCAUUUUUUUUCAACAUUUUUUUCUCAUUCCACGACGAUGCUCACGAAACAUAGUCAAAAGUUUCAAAAUAGUUAAAAAUAGUGACUUUUUUCGAGAAAAAGUGACUUAAGUGACUUUUCCGAGAAAAAAGAGACUUUUUAGUGACUGACCCGAAAAAAGUGACCAAGUCACUAAAAAGUGACUCGCUACCAGGCCUCAGGAAUUCUGUAGAGUGCUACAGUUAUCAACGGCAAGGUUUUUGUGUUUGUUCACCAGUUUUGCACUGGUUUGGUAUAAGACUAACUCAGAUGUUCAUAUGCAAAAGGGAAGUCUAAAACACCGUGCCUUAACUUAUCAAGCCUUAACAUCUAAUCCCCUAAUUUCCAAACUAAGGAAGGCAUAAUGCAGCAUUUUUGCUGAGUAUUUUCACUAGGAAUUACCCAGGAUUUCCUAAUGGACAAAUUUAUUUAUUUAUUUUUUAAUUACUGAAGAAAUCCGUGAAGAAUCUUCAUGAGGAAAUCCUGGAGAAAUGCCUGGAGGAAAUCGUAAAUUUGAUUUCUGAAUAAUUUCAUGGAUAAACGUAAGGGGAAAUUUCUCAUGGUAGUCCUAAGGAGAUCAUGGGAAAAAAAUAAUUAGAUAUCCCUGAAGAAGGGGUGAUUCAAAUAUGACGUCCACUACUUUUUGAGAUUUUUAAACCCCCCCUCCCCCUUCUAACACGCUUUUUGGUAUACCAAGUGUACACACUGUCACAAAAUCUUGACCCCCUCCCCCCUCAAACUGUGGACGUCAUUUUUGAACGACCCCGAAGUUGCUGGAGAAUUCUUAGAGCAAUUAUUGAAGUAAUUCUUGAAAGAGUUCAACAUAAUUCCUGGAACAAUUAUCGAGAAUGUCUAAAUAAGUUAUACAAGGUUUUCGAAGGAAUGCUUUAAAAAUUGUGGAGAAAAUGACCAUUUUUUGAAAUUCUGAAGAAAUUCCAGAAACAUUUUUCAAAGUUUUCAGAGUAAUCCUACUUUCCAAAAAAUACUAGAGUUCUCUCUACUCUACGACAGGCUACUGACUGAUACUUUUGCUAGCAGCUACAGCUCUCUUUAUUUCAACAAUAGUUACAUAUACAAUAUGUAACAAUAAUCUACCAUAGAGCAACAAUUUUCUAAGAUCCGUAAAGCCAAAUAUUAAUUUCUUUGAUGUUUACUGCCGUAAGAGCACGAAAAAUAUAAACAUUUAGAAACAAAAAUGCUUCAGGAAAUGUUUGAGGGAUGAUUUUGAUCCACGCCACCGCCACCGAAUUACAGUCCGAAUAAUUUUUGAAUGUCAAUUUUUACUCAGUGAUCUUAUCGAGAGCGUCGCGUUAAAUUUCCGUUUUUCACAGAAAGUGUGCUAGGAUUCGUACGAGAGUUCAGGAUCACAAACCAGAAAUAUGGAAUCUGAACAAAAUGUUGAAAUUAAAAAAACAAUACUUGGUUAAAAUGAUUUCUAGUUGAAUAAUAUUCUAAAAAAUCUUAGUCUAUGCUUCUACUUCUUCUUGCAUUACAAACAGCGUACAUAAUAGUCCUGUCUAAUGAGAGCUGUAAAUAGAUCGCAAUCACAUUCGCAUUUUUAGCGUCCAUUCAGCUACUUCAACCAACUUGAAACAAAAUAAUGUUUUUGAAAAAAGUGGCACCGAAUCUUUUGAAUUCUUCGAUACUUUGUUGCCAAAACUCAACACCCAGGAGCAUUUCCAGUGCGAAAACUGUUAACAGUACUCCAUAAUUGCUCUUCAAAGUGCAUGCACUUAUGUAGUUUCUCAAACAAACGAAAAAAACCCAGAAUAAUCCACCUUGCAGGUUGCCUUUCUUGUGUAUUAUAAAAUUUAACAAGAAAAGCACAUGAGAGAGGUCAAAAUUGCACUUUAGGGAGAUAGAUUCAGUUAUUUUCAUCAAUUCAUAUUUAUUUGCGUUCAUUUGAUUGCAUUGCAGCAGUUUUAAAAAAUCGAUUUUGAUUUUUUUGUCCAAGGAAAAAUGGGGAAAAAACAAUGUUUUUUAAUAACUCCGGAACGCUAUGGCCGAUUGGGCCAAUUUUCAAGAGCGAAAAAUUAGGAAGGAUUCCGCGUCGAAUGCAACCAGUUGCAAGCAAAUCGGAUAAGGCUAAGUACAAAAAGGGUGUCUCACCUUUUUUUGUACACACACACAUACAUACAUACACACAUACAAGCAUCACCUCACUUCGUCGAGCUGAGUCGAUUGGUAUAUAACACUAUGGGUCUCCGAGCCUUCUAUCAAAAGUUCGGUUUUGGAGUGAUCCUAUAACUUUACGUAUAUUAAUAUACGCGAAAGGCAAAAAUGUAUAGGGGAAGGUGGUCGGUUGCUAAUUGAUUGUCGGCACACUUUUUUGUCAAGUGAAAACCCACUCCAAAGUUUUUUUUUGUCAUUUGCUUAGUGCUAUAAACCGUAGUAAAACGAUCGAAAUAGUGAGCGCAUUACGUAUUAACAAAGCAAAUUUACUCUAUUUUGUGAUUCCUAAUUCAAUAAUUUUUCAAUUUAAUUAUGAUUUUAACUUUUCAAAAGGGUUACUUAUUUCGAUUGUCGGCACCCCGGUGAUUAUCAAGGGAAAUCAUCAGUUUAUUGUCUAAUUUCAGGCUAUAAGCCAAGUUGUUAGCAAAACUUGUAAGGACGUGGCCAGGUGUGUUGAGAAAAUCGAGUCUGCCUAAUUGUAGAUUUUAGCGAAAUCUACAAUGACGGUGGAUAUGUUUAUCUCUGCAACUCCAUCUACGAUUUGUGCAAAGGUUGCUAUGCUAUAAGCCAAGUUGUUAGCAAAACUAACAAUUUUUGAAAUCUUUAUGAAAUGUGUAUAAUGUACUUAAAUAUAAUAAAUGUCAUUGCUAUAAAUUAAAGACCAGAUCAUUUAGAAAUUUCAAAUGCGUGUAUUUUUUUGACUUUUUGUUUGAUCGAAAAACUUUCUAAGAACGGAACAGAAGUUAUAUUCUUUUAUUUCAUAUGAAUAACUAAAACGAAUCAUGCAUCGUUAUUUCGAAGAAAUUCUCGCACUUUUCUGUUGAUGUCGCUUGUCAGUCGGCGCACAACUUCUUCAGCCAUGAUUUUGGCUAGCUGAAUCCACCAAUUCUUCAUUCGGCCAAUGUCAGUUGUGACUGCCCCCUUCAUCUUCAGUUUCUGAGUAAUAAUCACCCAAAACUAUCUAUUGUAUGGAAUUGAGGCCAAUUUGAUGGAUUCAGAUUUUUUGGGAUGAACUGGACUCCACUAUUGUAGUGGCAGCUUUCUAAAAAAAAGCUACAAUGGCAGCUUUCUAAAUCUAGCCAAAACGUAAAAGGGCCAUCAUGGGACUGAAUAAAGUGUAAAAUCCGACUUUUGCGAAGAUGGAUUUUGCAAGACUGUGCAGAAUUAUUUAAAGUUUUUUUUUGUAUUUUUUUCCAAAAUACGUAUUUUUGGACGAGGAUUCAGAAUAUAUAAAAAAUCUCAUUUUGGUCAAAAAUGUUACAUACGCAGUUUCUCAAACAAGCGUUUCAAAUGGCAUGUGAUGCUUGUUGAGAAUGAGUUCAACGAUUAUUGGUUCGUUCUCGAAUGUUAAAUCUAGUAGGCAUUUAGGUGGUAGGGUAACCAACUUGAUUUGGACCCCUACACAUUUUGGACCCUCCUGGCGACAUUUUUCUGAUUUCUGAACUCAAAACAAUGCCGCUGCUAAUUCCCCCAUUGGCUUCAGGAAAUUAACAUUGUUCAGCAUCUAUUUCACUGGUUUCCCGUGCGAAAAAAAAAUACUGCAACGAUUAGCAACUGCGUCCUAUUACAGCGGGUUAAUUUUAUUAAAACCAGAAAUUUAUCAUAAUUAUCGUAAUAUUUUUGAAGCUAAGGCUAAAGAACAUUCUAGUCGACUACGUAAGUACGAUUAAGAAUAUACAAUUCUUUGAAAAUAGGGUGAUAAUAGGACCUUUUCACCUCUCUGUACUCCAGGAAUCUUGGCUGUAGUAUUAUUUUUUUUACAGAAAAUCAUUUUACGUAAAGGUUCUUUUUUAUUCGCAUAAAUUACUUCAAUAAGGUAGAAACAUCCGAACAAUAGCUGAAUUCCAAGCUGAUAGUUAUUUACUGUUAAUAGCAAAUUAUUUUAAAAUUAGUGUAAAAAAGAGGAUUUAAAUUAUUUAUUUUAUAAAAACUGGUCUACGUUUUUAACAAGUGACUAACCACCGAACUUCCCUGAGUGUUUAUUUUUUAAUUGUGUUCUGCCGUGUAAUUGUGUUACUUGAAAGAUACAAUUCAAAAACUUGACCUAUUUCCACUAAAACAAAAUGUUCUUAUUCGUUUUUCUUUCUCUGUUUGUUUGUUAAUUCUCUCAUUCACUGAUUGCGUAUACCCACUUUGAUUUGUUCCCACAAAACCAUUAUUUUGUUUUAUCACCUUUG